This is a long non-coding RNA of Pan troglodytes (chimpanzee), 3650 nucleotides long. RefSeq lists it as uncharacterized. The record is from RefSeq and is a predicted model, not a curated record. The transcript has 4 exons. Lineage: Eukaryota; Metazoa; Chordata; Mammalia; Primates; Hominidae.
UGGUCUGACCAAAGAGCAGGGUGCAAGUGGUGGAAGAUUCAAGAGGUGGACAGCAACCUUCAGAGAAACUGGGUCUUCAUCCUGACCAUUCUGUGGACUAUUAUUAAACAGUCCUCAGGUCAGCACCUCAGGUCACUGUUGUUCUUUGGUCAUUUAAUGCUCAGUUUUAUGACCCAAAAUCAAUGAAUAAAAACAGAAUAAAACAAUGAGAAAAUUUUCACCUUUAUUUAAUUAGCAGUUUUUUUUUAAAAGAUAGGUAUGUUAGAAAAGUUGCAAAAUCUGUAGGCUGCUGAUGGGCAUGUAAACUGAUGCAUUUUGCCUAAUACUUUCUACAUAUAUAUCAAAAGCCAUAACAUUCUUUGACUCAUGGUCCCGUUGCUGGAAAUUAAUCUUUUAAAUAUUUAUUUAUUUAUUUAGUAGAAACGGGGUCUUGCUUUGUUUUGUUUUGUUUUUGAGACGGAGUUUCACUCUUGUUGCCCAGGCUGGAGUGCAAUGGCACGAUCUCAACUCACAGCAAUCUCUGCCUCCCAGGUUCAAGUGAUUCACCUGGCUCAGCCUCCCGAGUAGCUGGGAUUAAAGAUCCUCUGGGCUUGCAGAUGUGGCUCACCUUCCAUAGUAAAGGCUAGCAGUUCUACAGUGCUGGAAGAUGCUAUAGAAAUCUCACCCCUGUAAGAGGUGCCACUUCAGAAUCUGCCCCCACCUCCUCUCUUGCCUGCCAAGCCAAUAACUAGGAUUGAGGUCAUGCUGGGCCUGGUCUAUGUUUCUGCCACCCUCUGUGAUGGUGAGUCUGAAGGAACUGGACUGCCUGAACACCCCACAGAACAUCACUCUGAUCUAUUACAUUGACAACAUCACGAUGAUUGGACAAGUUGAGCAAGAGAUGAGGAAGCUGAGGAUCAGAGAAGUUAAAAAAUGUCAUCCAAGAUCACAUAUCCAGAAGCUGCAGAGCCAGGACUUGAACUCAUGUCUGUCUGACUCCAGCCAUGCUUUUAAUCACUCUGCUGGGCUCAUUAGUACCUAUCAGGCCUAUGAUUGUGUCCUUAGUGAUUAGCACUUUCCCCAGAGCUGGAAAUGAGAUGCAAGAGAAAUAAAAACGCUUGAGAUCUAAACUGAAAUGCAGAAAUUCUCUGUUAUCUACUAGGUACAAAGGAGGCCUUGACUAGGUGCUUUGUGUGUGUUGAGGUUGUAAGUGCUGUGGAAAUAGAAUUUGGAGGAAGACAGACAGAAUUACACAUGAUUGACAAUAAUAAAUACAAACCUAUAUGAUACAACAUGUUAUUGCUCUACAUAAGAUAACUGGGGAAAAAUAAGUACUGAAUGAGAAUGAGAAGAUGAAGAUUUCAAUCCAGUUUUUGCCACAUACCAAAUGUAGCACUAGAUCAAUGAGGGUCUCAACAGGCAACAGGGGGUUCAAAUAAAAGAUUCAAUGAAAGAACUACUUUGAGAAAUAUUAAGAAGGGUUAGGGGUGGAGGUUGGUAAUGCACCCAGACACUAGCAACAGUGGAAGCUGAUAGCACCCCUAGGAUGGAAAGAUUCUUACUCUUUCUUUAAGAUUCUUUAAGAAUCUAGGGUAAGAUUCUUACUCUUACCCUAGGGGAGGUAAGAGUAAGAAUGGGCAUCAUAGAACAAGGGCCACCAAACAAGAGCUGUACUUGUGGAGAGGUACUGUUACUACCAGACACAUGGCCCUGAACCUGGGAGAGGGCAGGGAAGAAAGACCUGGACUUCCACCUUGUGCUUUCUGAUGUGCUGGGAACUUCCAAUGCUAAGCCCUCAGAAGCCACCCUGACAAGGAACUAAUGAGACAUUUUCUACAGGGGUCUGUCCCAGUUGGAGCUUGGAUCUGAGGAAAGGGGAUGGAAAAUCACCUUCGGCAAGUCACUUUUCCUCUCUAAAUUUCAGUUUGCUCAUCCCUUGUUUAUUGCCUACCAUAUUAUCAAUAAUAUAAAUAGUUGGCCUUAUAAUUUUUACUUCGAAUUUUUUUGAAAAACCUCAAAUUUACAAAGAAUUUGUAAGAAUAGUACCAUGAAUACACACAUAUUCUUUCACCUAGAUUCACCAAUUGUUAAAAUUCCAUCACUGCUGUUUAAUUCUUUUUAUCUUUCUCUGCUAACACAGACACAUAUUUUUGCUGAACCUUCUGAGAGUACUUGCUGACAUUCUGACACUUAAACCUCGAAUACCUAAGUAUUAUCUAUAAACAAGGAUGGUUCUCUACAUAACCCCAGUACGAUGAUCACAUUCAGGAAAUUAAACAUUAAGGCAAUGCUAUUAUGAAAUAUAGGCUAUACUCAAAUUUCCCCAGUUUCUCAGUAAUCUGCUUUGUAUUAUUUUUUUCAAUCAAUAAUAACACAUUAAAUUCUGUCAUCAUGUCUCUAUUUUCUCCUUUAAUCUAGAAUGGUUUUCCAGGCUUUUCCCUUUUUAAUCUUUUGUGAUGUUAACAUUUUUGAAGAAUCUAGACCAGUUAUUUUGCAGAAUAUGGAUUUGUCUGAUUAUUUCUUCAUGCUUAGAUUCAGUUAAAACAAUUUUGGCAAUAACUACACAAAGUUGUUGUGUCCUUCUCAGUGUAUUGUAUCUGGAGGUACCCUAUGUCAGAACACUCCAUCACAGUAAUCUUCAGUUGGGAUCACUUGGUUAAAGCAGUAUCUGCUAGAUUUAUCAAUUAUCUUUUCCCUAUUAUAAUUAUCAAGUAAUCUGUGGGGUGGUAUAUGUGAAUAUAUCUUUUCUCACCAAGAUUCUUUUACCCAGCAUUUUUUUUACAACCAUUUGAAUUUUCUUGCUAUGACAGAAUUAGUUUCAUAAGAGCAUAAUUAAGGAAUCUGGUAAGACGUCUUUGAAAGUUCUAAUUACAACCCUCAUCUCUUCUUAUGUUAAACUGUCUUCAUUCAUUUACCUACUUAUUUAACAAAUGUUUAAAGAAUGCUCGUUUUGUGGCUUGGCCUGUGACAUUUUCAUCAGUGGCUUCAUAGUUGCCUAAACUAAUGUCUCUUCCUGUGCUCCAGAAUCCUAUUGGCAACUAUUUUCCAUGGAUGCCAUAAACUCAACAUACUCAGAUGAAAGCUGUCAUUUCACUUUCUCACCUGCUCUUCCUGUUAUUUAUUCCAGUAAAUUGCACCUCUGUCUUCUCAUUGACCCUAUAAUAAGAAAGUCCUAUUUAUUGAGUGGCUAUCUGUUACAAUAGGCCUUUUAUACAUGUUACAUGCAUUAUCUCAUUUAAUCUUUUCAAUAAUCUUGAGAAUUAGAUGCCAUUAUCUGGAGGACAUUGGGCUUUGAGCCCCAGGUCAACAGUAAGCAAGUCCUCAUGCUAGGAUACAAAUCCAGUUAUCUUGGGCUUCAAAAUCUUUGCUUUAGCAUAGUGAUAAAGGUAUCACUGGCUUCAAAUCCUGGCUCUGCCACUUCCUACGGGUGAUUGGGUAAGUCACCUUAACUUUCAAUGCCUUGAUUUCCUUCUUUAUAAAAUGGGAAAAAUGAUAACUCUUGUCUUGUAGGGUUGUUAUGGACUUGAAAGAAACAAAACUUGCUGGGCGUGGUGGCUCACGCCUGUAAUCCCAGCGCUUUGGGAGGCCGAGGCGGGUAGGUCACCUGAGGUCAGGAAUUUGAGACUAGCCUGGUCAACAUGGCGAAACCCCAUCUCUACUAAAAUAAUACA